GACGAACGCUGGCGGCGUGCUUAACACAUGCAAGUCGAACGGAAAGGCCCUGCUUUUGUGGGGUGCUCGAGUGGCGAACGGGUGAGUAACACGUGAGUAACCUGCCCUUGACUUUGGGAUAACUUCAGGAAACUGGGGCUAAUACCGGAUAGGAGCUCCUGCUGCAUGGUGGGGGUUGGAAAGUUUCGGCGGUUGGGGAUGGACUCGCGGCUUAUCAGCUUGUUGGUGGGGUAGUGGCUUACCAAGGCUUUGACGGGUAGCCGGCCUGAGAGGGUGACCGGCCACAUUGGGACUGAGAUACGGCCCAGACUCCUACGGGAGGCAGCAGUGGGGAAUAUUGCACAAUGGGCGGGAGCCUGAUGCAGCAACGCCGCGUGCGGGAUGACGGCCUUCGGGUUGUAAACCGCUUUCGCAUGUGACGAAGCGUGAGUGACGGUAAUGGGUAAAGAAGCACCGGCUAACUACGUG
This 468-nucleotide ribosomal RNA is filed under the name uncultured bacterium. RNAcentral's name for it is "partial 16S ribosomal RNA". It matches the Rfam family "Bacterial small subunit ribosomal RNA", at positions 28 to 507 of the family's 1533-position model. The record is from RNAcentral.